UACGGGGGGGGCAAGCGUUGUUCGGAAUUACUGGGCGUAAAGGGUUCGUAGGUGGCCAACUAAGUCAGACGUGAAAUCCCUCAGCUUAACUGGGGAACUGCGUCUGAGACUGGAUGGCUUGAGUGCAGGAGAGGAACGCGGAAUUCCCGGUGUAGCGGUGAAAUGUGUAGAGAUCGGGAGGAACACCGGUGGCGAAGGCGGUCUUCUGGACGGUGACUGACGCUGAGGCGCGAAAGCGUGGGGAGCAAACGGG
Molecule: ribosomal RNA, 253 nt
Filed under: uncultured bacterium
Lineage: Bacteria
Description: partial 16S ribosomal RNA
Rfam family: Bacterial small subunit ribosomal RNA
Source: RNAcentral